AAAUAUUAAAUGUUCUUAAAAUAGAGCAAUUUUUAAAUUGUAAUAAUACAUGUAUUAAUACUGCACCAAAUAUUGUCAAAUUACUUCCACGCAUUGGUCGAUUCAAACGUAUACAAGAGAACAUUGCAACUGAAGAUGAUGUUAAGUUAAUCGAAUACUUAAAGGACAAUGCCAUCACAAUCUUAAGUCAUUUUGAGGAAAAUGAUGAAUUGACCAAUAGCAUUCAAUCAAAGUUAGCAAGAACUGUUAUAGACAGAGAGAAAAAGAAAGUUCUUCGGGACAAUAAUUUUUAUGUCCUAGAUAAGUUUUGUUCGUCUAUUGGGUACAACAAUUUCAUAGACUAUUCGGGGACUGUCCAGAAAUAUACUUCGUACCUUAUGUAAGCAUCAACCGGACAAAAUUAAACGCCACUGGAAAGUUAUGGGACAAUUUUAACCAUGUGAAGGGUGUGAUGCGCCGAGAAGGUCUUAUGAAAGAUAAGCGAACUGUAUUUCAAAAUAAUGCACUACAACCA
Molecule: long non-coding RNA, 514 nt
Organism: Belonocnema kinseyi
Lineage: Eukaryota; Metazoa; Arthropoda; Insecta; Hymenoptera; Cynipidae
Exons: 3
Source: RefSeq, a predicted model, not a curated record